AAACCAACAGGGAUUACCUCAGUAACGGCGAGUGAAGCGGUAAAAGCUCAAAUUUGAAACCCUCGGGAUUGUAAUUUGAAGAUUUGGCAUUGGGAAAAGCUAACCCAAGUUGCUUGGAAUAGUGCGUCGUAGAGGGUGAGAACCCCGUGUGGCUAACCGUUUCCCAUGUAUUGCCUUAUCAAAGAGUCGAGUUGUUUGGGAAUGCAGCUCUAAGUGGGUGGUAAACUCCAUCUAAAGCUAAAUAUUGGCGAGAGACCGAUAGCGAACAAGUACUGUGAAGGAAAGAUGAAAAGAACUUUGAAAAGAGAGUGAAAUAGUAUGUGAAAUUGUUGAUAGGGAAGGGAAUGAGUGUAGCGUGGGUGAGGUUUCAGCGUUCCCUCGGGGACGUGUACUGCCAAACCCGAGUCAAGGAGUGGGAAAAAGGGGUUAUAAAUGCAAACUCUCGAGUCUGCACCUAACCCCCGCCCUCCACUCCUCGACAUAAUACACC
Molecule: ribosomal RNA, 490 nt
Filed under: Yarrowia alimentaria
Lineage: Eukaryota; Fungi; Ascomycota; Dipodascomycetes; Dipodascales
Description: eukaryotic LSU rRNA
Rfam family: Eukaryotic large subunit ribosomal RNA
Source: RNAcentral